GGUGGGCUUGGUGGCUUUUCUAGUACUGCGAGCCAAUGGCGCUCCGUUGACAGAAGCGACCACCGUCUUGCCAUCAAGCGACACCUCAAGUGAGGAGGAAACGGCGCCCUCUGACCUGCUGACCUCUGCUCAUGUUUGGGACUCGGUUCUGGGUACCGCUAAAGAACACCAGAAAGCUUUUGAUGAUGAAUUCCAAAACAAUGUCAACUUUCAUUUACUGGAGCACUACAAAGCACCUCAGUUUCCAGCAAACUGCCCCAGCUCCAACUUUAGCAAGGUAAGAACCAGAAAUGGAAAACCACCAGAGGUGGGAGAAAAUACAGACACUGACACUUUCCAUAAUUGUUUGCUAGCAUCGGCUUGACACAACAUCCUGCGGAAGCUCUACAUCUUCAUUGUUGACGGCGAGAGGGCGCUGAGGCGCAAAGAACGGCGAAGGGGAAAACAUGCCAAGGUCUUCGCCAUGUUUAGUUUAUUGCGGUAGUCACGUCCGCCACUGAAGCCCGUCGGAAAUGUUGGGCAAAACAUGAAGUGAAUUAAGUUGUUGGAUCUGCACUGACGUGUCGUAACCCACUGACGUAUUGAUGAUGUAUUUGUUUUUGCAUGACGCACUGAGUUUUUUAAUUCUUUUAUUCUGUAGAUAACCUAUUUA
Syngnathus typhle (broad-nosed pipefish) is the source of this 652-nucleotide long non-coding RNA. RefSeq lists it as uncharacterized. The transcript has 2 exons. NCBI's taxonomy places the organism in Eukaryota, Metazoa, Chordata, Actinopteri, Syngnathiformes, Syngnathidae. The record is from RefSeq and is a predicted model, not a curated record.